RNAcentral lists this ribosomal RNA (465 nucleotides) under Vreelandella stevensii. RNAcentral describes it as "partial 16S ribosomal RNA". It matches the Rfam family "Bacterial small subunit ribosomal RNA", at positions 338 to 795 of the family's 1533-position model. Lineage: Bacteria; Pseudomonadati; Pseudomonadota; Gammaproteobacteria; Oceanospirillales; Halomonadaceae. The record is from RNAcentral.
CCUACGGGUGGCAGCAGUGGGGAAUAUUGGACAAUGGGGGCAACCCUGAUCCAGCCAUGCCGCGUGUGUGAAGAAGGCCCUCGGGUUGUAAAGCACUUUCAGUGAGGAAGAACGCCUGGUGGUUAAUACCCAUCAGGAAAGACAUCACUCACAGAAGAAGCACCGGCUAACUCCGUGCCAGCAGCCGCGGAAAUACGGAGGGUGCGAGCGUUAAUCGGAAUUACUGGGCGUAAAGCGCGCGUAGGUGGCUUGAUAAGCCGGUUGUGAAAGCCCCGGGCUCAACCUGGGAACGGCAUCCGGAACUGUCAAGCUAGAGUGCAGGAGAGGAAGGUAGAAUUCCCGGUGUAGCGGUGAAAUGCGUAGAGAUCGGGAGGAAUACCAGUGGCGAAGGCGGCCUUCUGGACUGACACUGACACUGAGGUGCGAAAGCGUGGGUAGCAAACAGGAUUAGAUACCCUUGUAGUC